Molecule: ribosomal RNA, 468 nt
Filed under: uncultured bacterium
Lineage: Bacteria
Description: partial 16S ribosomal RNA
Rfam family: Bacterial small subunit ribosomal RNA
Source: RNAcentral
GACGAACGCUGGCGGCGUGCUUAACACAUGCAAGUCGAACGGAAAGGCCCUGCUUUUGUGGGGUUCUCGAGUGGCGAACGGGUGAGUAACACGUGAGUAACCUGCCCUUGACUUUGGGAUAACUUCAGGAAACUGGGGCUAAUACCGGAUAGGAUCUCCUGCUGCAUGGUGGUGGUUGGAAAGUUUCGGCUGUUGUGGAUGGACUCGCUGCUUAUCAGCUUGUUUGGGGGGUAGUUGCUUACCAAGGCUUUGACGGGUAGCCGGCCUGGGAGGGUUAACGGCGACAUUGCGCCUGCGAUAGGGACCAGACUCCUACGGGCGGCAGCAGUGGAGAAUAUUGCACAGCGGGCGGAAGCGUGAUGCAGAAACGCCGCGUGCGGGAUGACGGCCUUCGGGUUGUAAACCGAUGUCGACUGUGCCGAAGACUGAGUGACGGUAAUGGGUAAAGAAGCACCGGCUAACUACGUG